CCUACGGGAGGCAGCAGUGGGGAAUAUUGGGCAAUGGGCGCAAGCCUGACCCAGCAACGCCGCGUGAAGGAAGAAGGCUUUCGGGUUUUAAACUUCUUUUCUCAGGGACGAAGCAAGUGACGGUACCUGAGGAAUAAGCCACGGCUAACUACGUGCCAGCAGCCGCGGUAAUACGUAGGUGGCAAGCGUUAUCCGGAUUUACUGGGUGUAAAGGGCGUGUAGGAGGGAAAGCAAGUCAGAUGUGAAAACCAUGGGCUCAGCCUGUGGCCUGCAUUUGAAACUGUUUUUCUUGAGUACUGGAGAGGCAGACGGAAGUCCUAGUGUAGCGGUGAAAUGCGUAGAUAUUAGGAGGAACACCAGUGGCGAAGGCGGUCUGCUGGACAGCAACUGACGCUGAGGCGCGAAAGCGUGGGGAGCAAACAGGAUUAGAUACCCCUGUAGUC
RNAcentral lists this ribosomal RNA (443 nucleotides) under uncultured bacterium. Its description in RNAcentral is "partial 16S ribosomal RNA". It matches the Rfam family "Bacterial small subunit ribosomal RNA", at positions 338 to 795 of the family's 1533-position model. The record is from RNAcentral.